Molecule: ribosomal RNA, 712 nt
Filed under: Fusarium sp.
Lineage: Eukaryota; Fungi; Ascomycota; Sordariomycetes; Hypocreales; Nectriaceae
Description: partial small subunit ribosomal RNA
Rfam family: Bacterial small subunit ribosomal RNA
Source: RNAcentral
GGGGAGCAAAACAGCUAUGGGUCAAGCCCGAGAUCUUUAGGAGAAGUCUUAUUGUGAGGGCGAGUUAUAUAACACCAUAGGGCUGGCCGUCCCAUAUGAAAAGAUUUUAUUAGAAUUGAAUGAAGCUUUGUUUAUAUAUUGAUAAUGACAGUAUAUAUAUCGUGUCUUGACUAAUUGCGUGCCAGCAGUCGCGGUAAUACGUAAGAGACUAGUGUUAUUCAUCUUAAUUAGGUUUAAAGGGUACCCAGACGGUCAAUAUAGCUUAUAAAAUGUUAGUACUUGACUAGAGUUUUAUGUAAGAGGGCAGUACUUGAGGAGGAGAGAUGAAAUUUCGUGAUACCAAAGGGACUCUGUAAAGGCGAAGGCAGCCCUCUAUGUAAAAACUGACGUUGAAGGACGAAGGCACAGAGAACAAACAGGAUUAGAUACCCAAGUAGUCUUUGCAGUAAAUGAUGAAUGCCAUAGGUUAGAUUAAUAGUUAAUGUUUAUAGACUAAUUGGUGGUUUAGUGGUUUUUUACUUUUACGGCUUAAAAAAAAUACAUUUUUUUUAGCCAUAAAAAAAAACCUUGCAUAACUAAACCUAUAUAGCCAUAGCGUACAUUAAAAAUUAUUUGGUCUAUAAAUGAAAGUGUAAGCAUUUCACCUCAAGAGUAAUGUGGCAACGCAGGAACUGAAAUCACUAGACCGUUUCUGACACCAGUAGUGAAGUAU